This 1007-nucleotide ribosomal RNA is filed under the name Talaromyces variabilis. RNAcentral's name for it is "SSU rRNA". It matches the Rfam family "Eukaryotic small subunit ribosomal RNA", at positions 54 to 1067 of the family's 1831-position model. Lineage: Eukaryota; Fungi; Ascomycota; Eurotiomycetes; Eurotiales; Trichocomaceae. The record is from RNAcentral.
CAUGUCUAAGUAUAAGCACUUUGUACUGUGAAACUGCGAAUGGCUCAUUAAAUCAGUUAUCGUUUAUUUGAUAGUACCCUACUACAUGGAUACCUGUGGUAAUUCUAGAGCUAAUACAUGCGCAAAACCCCGACUUCGGAAGGGGUGUAUUUAUUAGAUAAAAAACCAAUGCCCUUCGGGGCUCCUUGGUGAUUCAUAAUAACUUAACGAAUCGCAUGGCCUUGCGCCGGCGAUGGUUCAUUCAAAUUUCUGCCCUAUCAACUUUCGAUGGUAGGAUAGUGGCCUACCAUGGUGGCAACGGGUAACGGGGAAUUAGGGUUCGAUUCCGGAGAGGGAGCCUGAGAAACGGCUACCACAUCCAAGGAAGGCAGCAGGCGCGCAAAUUACCCAAUCCCGAUCCGGGGAGGUAGUGACAAUAAAUACUGAUAUAGGGCUCUUUUGGGUCUUAUAAUUGGAAUGAGUACAAUCUAAAUCUCUUAACGAGGAACAAUUGGAGGGCAAGUCUGGUGCCAGCAGCCGCGGUAAUUCCAGCUCCAAUAGCGUAUAUUAAAGUUGUUGCAGUUAAAAAGCUCGUAGUUGAACCUUGGGCCCGUCCUGCCGGUCCGCCUCACCGCGAGUACUGGUCCGGAUGGGCCUUUCUUUCUGGGGAAUCCCAUGGCCUUCACUGGCUGUGGCGGGGAACCAGGACUUUUACUGUGAAAAAAUUAGAGUGUUCAAAGCAGGCCUUUGCUCGGAUACAUUAGCAUGGAAUAAUAAAAUAGGACGUGUGGUUCUAUUUUGUUGGUUUCUAGGACCGCCGUAAUGAUUAAUAGGGAUAGUCGGGGGCGUCAGUAUUCAGCUGUCAGAGGUGAAAUUCUUGGAUUUGCUGAAGACUAACUACUGCGAAAGCAUUCGCCAAGGAUGUUUUCAUUAAUCAGGGAACGAAAGUUAGGGGGAUCGAAAACGAUCAGAUACCGUUGUAGUCUUAANCCAUAAACUAUGCCGACUAGGGAUCGGNNCGGUGUUUC